AUGGCUCAGGAUGAACGCUGGCGGCGUGCCUAACACAUGCAAGUCGAACGGAGUAAUUAAGCGGAAGUUUCGGAUGGAAGUUAGCUACUUAGUGGCGGACGGGUGAGUAACGCGUGGGCAACCUGCCCUGUACCGGGGGAUAACACUUAGAAAUAGGUGCUAAUACCGCAUAAGCGCACAGCUUCGCAUGAAGCAGUGUGAAAAACUCCGGUGGUACAGGAUGGACCCGCGUCUGAUUAGCUAGUUGGUGGGGUAGAGGCCUACCAAGGCGACGAUCAGUAGCCGACCUGAGAGGGUGACCGGCCACAUUGGGACUGAGACACGGCCCAAACUCCUACGGGAGGCAGCAGUGGGGAAUAUUGCACAAUGGGGGAAACCCUGAUGCCAGCGACGCCGCGUGAGUGAAGAAGUAUUUCGGUAUGUAAAGCUCUAUCAGCAGGGAAGAAAAUGACGGUACCUGACUAAGAAGCCCCGGCUAACUACGUGCCAGCCGCCGC
RNAcentral lists this ribosomal RNA (497 nucleotides) under uncultured bacterium. RNAcentral's name for it is "bacterial SSU rRNA". It matches the Rfam family "Bacterial small subunit ribosomal RNA", at positions 19 to 518 of the family's 1533-position model. The record is from RNAcentral.